Molecule: ribosomal RNA, 153 nt
Filed under: Triticum aestivum (bread wheat)
Lineage: Eukaryota; Viridiplantae; Streptophyta; Magnoliopsida; Poales; Poaceae
Description: partial small subunit ribosomal RNA
Source: RNAcentral
AUGCAGAUGAACCGGCAAUGGAUGUACGAUGAACGACGCACCUCCGAGUACAUUACAGGCCUGCAAAAUUUUCUAGAUGUGGCUGCGGCAAACAGUCAGGAUGGUUUUAUGUAUUGUCCAUGUACCGUCUGUGGGAAUACAAAGGAUUAUUGA